RNA transcript from Pistacia vera, 2296 nucleotides. It is a transcript of the gene named splicing factor U2af large subunit B, with no coding region annotated. Lineage: Eukaryota; Viridiplantae; Streptophyta; Magnoliopsida; Sapindales; Anacardiaceae. The record is from RefSeq and is a predicted model, not a curated record. The transcript has 13 exons.
GUUGUUUAAAGAGAGGCAGACAAGCCCUUUUCUCCCAAACCCUAGAAUUCUCUACGCUUUAAUUUUGAAGCUAAAGCAAAGUAAGACAAAUCUCAUUUGAGAUAGCAAGAUAAGUAAUCAACCUGAAAGAUGGCUGAUUACGAACUUAACGGUGAAGACGUCGACAACAACAACAACAACAAUGAUUACGCUUUUGAUUCCUCCCCGCAGCCUCGUGCUACUGAUGAUUACAGCGACUCCAAAUCUCAGCGUGGAUCUCGAGAUUAUGAAAGAGAAUCUUCAAGAAGCAGAGAAAAGGAAAGAGAAAAAAGUCGUGAUAAGGAGAGGGACCGUGACCGGGAUAGGGAUCGGCAUCGUGACAGGGACAGGGAUCAGGAGAGAAGCAAAGAUAGGGACAGAGACAGAGAUAGGGAAAAGGACAAAGAAAAGGAUCGUGAUCGUCACCACAGAGAUCGCCACAGGGACCGUAGUAGAGAACGCAGUGAAAGGAGGAGGGAUAGAGAUGAUGAUGAUGAUUAUCACCGAAGCCGAGAUUAUGACAGGCGGAGAGAUUAUGACAGAGAAAGCAGGCACAUACGCCGUUCUCGAUCUCAGGGUAGAUCUGAGCACAGAUCAAGGUCACGUUCUCGCUCACGUUCAAAGAGCAAAAGGAUAAGUGGAUUUGACAUGGCACCUCCUGCUUCUGCAAUGGUAGCUGCUGGUGCUGCUGUUGCUGCUGCAGGUCAAAUUCCUGGGACAAGUCCAGCCAUUCCUGGCAUGUUCCCAAACAUUUUCCCAUUGGCUACUGGUCAGCAGUUUGGUGCUCUUCCUGUUAUGCCAGUUCAGGCAAUGACUCAGCAGGCUACUAGGCAUGCUAGGCGAGUAUAUGUUGGAGGACUUCCCCCAACAGCGAACGAACAGUCUGUUGCUACUUUCUUUAGCCAAGUUAUGGCUGCAAUUGGAGGAAACACAGCUGGUCCAGGGGAUGCUGUUGUUAAUGUUUACAUAAACCAUGAAAAAAAGUUCGCUUUUGUUGAGAUGAGAUCUGUUGAGGAAGCCAGUAAUGCAAUGGCUUUAGAUGGGAUUAUUUUUGAGGGAGCCCCUGUCAAGGUGAGGAGGCCCAGUGAUUAUAACCCAUCUCUCGCUGCAACACUUGGUCCCAGCCAGCCCAACCCUAAUCUUAAUUUAGCUGCUGUUGGUCUAACUCCAGGUUCUGCUGGUGGGCUUGAGGGCCCAGACCGCAUUUUUGUGGGUGGGCUUCCCUAUUACUUCACAGAAGCGCAGAUCAGGGAGUUGUUGGAGUCUUUUGGGCCCCUGCGUGGUUUUGAUCUGGUUAAAGAUAGAGAAACUGGAAACUCCAAAGGCUAUGCGUUUUGUGUUUAUCAAGAUCUUUCAGUUACGGACAUUGCAUGUGCUGCCCUGAAUGGGAUAAAAAUGGGUGAUAAGACUCUCACUGUUAGGCGUGCGAACCAGGGUGCUAACCAACCUAAACCUGAGCAAGAGAGUGUACUAUUACACGCUCAGCAGCAGAUUGCGUUGCAGAGGCUUAUGUUACAACCUGGUGCAGUUCCGACCAAGGUGGUGUGCUUAACUCAAGUAGUUACUGCAGAUGAGCUCAAGGAUGAUGAGGAGUAUGAAGAUAUUUUAGAAGACAUGAGAACAGAAGGAGGGAAAUUUGCCUUUUGUAGUCCCACAUUCUGCUAUAAAGAAUCAGGCCUAAUAUACACAGAUAGAAGACUCCAUAACCUUCAAUUUGUUUAUUUUAUAUUCACCUUGAUAUGUUUUUCUAACAAUUUUUAAAGUUUUUUGUCUAUUCCAAAAUUUUCACACUUGAUAUGCAGGUGCAUUGGUGAAUGUUGUCAUUCCACGCCCAAGCCCCAAUGGUGAACUAUUACCAGGAGUUGGAAAGGUAUUCUUAGAGUAUGCAGAUGUUGAUGGUGCUUCAAAGGCCCGGACAGGGAUGAAUGGAAGAAAAUUUGGUGGGAAUCAAGUGGUCGCUGUGUUUUACCCGGAAAACAGGUUUGCUCAGGGGGAUUAUGAUGGAUAGUAUUCUUCUGAAAAGAACUGCUCUGACAUUCAGUCGACUAGGCCCGUGGUAUUAGAUGGUUUACAAGAAUGUUCUUUGAGAGUUUUUGGUGUAAUGUUGUUAGUUAUACUAUUUUGAUUGUUUGCUCAGGGGUCAUUAUGAAUAUUGUUCCGGCUAUUAUUAGUUAGAAUAGUGAAUGUGCUCUAUUGAUAUCCAAUAACAUUUUUGCUAGAUUUGAACAGAUCUUUUUUUUUUUCUUUUCACAAAAUUUUAUACUAAGCAUUGCGAUCA